GACAGAGGUGCCAAGCGUUAGGCGGAAUCACUGGGCUUAAAGCGUGUGUAGGCGGAAUUGUAAGUACCUUGUGAAAUCCCAUAGCUCAACUAUGGAACUGCUUGGUAUACUGCUUUUCUUGAGCCACUUAGGGGCUACCGGAACAAAUGGUGGAGCGGUGAAAUGCGUAGAUAUCAUUUGGAACGCCAAUGGUGAAAACAGGUAGCUGGGAGUGUGCUGACGCUGAGACACGAAAGCCAGGGGAGCGAACGGG
This 253-nucleotide ribosomal RNA is filed under the name uncultured bacterium. Its description in RNAcentral is "partial 16S ribosomal RNA". It matches the Rfam family "Bacterial small subunit ribosomal RNA", at positions 524 to 776 of the family's 1533-position model. The record is from RNAcentral.